UGCUUCCCUCGUGAUAUGUUUUGUAAUUGCUGGUUGACUUUAGGGGGAAUCGAGCCGCAAGGGACAUGAAUGCAGAACUGGCACAGAA
Lupinus angustifolius (narrow-leaved blue lupine) is the source of this 88-nucleotide microRNA precursor. It matches the Rfam family "MIR2086 microRNA precursor family". The record is from Rfam. NCBI's taxonomy places the organism in Eukaryota, Viridiplantae, Streptophyta, Magnoliopsida, Fabales, Fabaceae.